Toxorhynchites rutilus septentrionalis is the source of this 1963-nucleotide long non-coding RNA. RefSeq lists it as uncharacterized. The transcript has 3 exons. Lineage: Eukaryota; Metazoa; Arthropoda; Insecta; Diptera; Culicidae. The record is from RefSeq and is a predicted model, not a curated record.
AACUUUUUUCCCCUCACUUCUUCUUCUUCUUCAAUGGCACUAACGUUCCUAGAGGAACUUCGCCGUCUCAACGUAGUAUUACUUGCGUCAUUUUUAUUAGUACUUAGUUGAGAUUUCUAUGCCAAAUAACACGCCUUGAAUGCAUUCUGAGUGGCAAGCUCUAGAAUACGCGUGAUCACAGUGCAAGUCGGAGGAAAUUUCUUUGACGAAAAAUUCCCCCGACCAGAACGGGAAUCGAACCCGAACACCCGGCAUGUUAGUUAUGACGCUAACCACUCGGCCACGGGAGCACAACUACCUGUCAAAUGUUUCUCCGAUCCAGAGAUGCCAGGUUUGCCGACAUGUCUUCAUUUUGAAGACAUUUGACUUACUGUGAAGACAUUUGAUUUUGUGAAGACAUUUUGAAGACAUUUUGAAGACAUUAUGAAAUACUUGAAGACAUUUCAGUGUGAUAGCGUACGUGGGUUCUUGAGAGAUAUUAUUUCCAUGAAUUUUUAACUAUUGGCCAAAAAUAUCGUCACAUGAAAAAGAGCUUGUUUCGUUUUGACCUGAACCUUCCAAACGAUCACUUCACAAAUUGAAGGUUUUCCGAUUACAUAACGUUUCAAUAAUAAUGGUCUGAGUCACAACAAAAACUUCAGAGCUUAAACAAACAAAUGGAGUCAUCAAAUUUUGUUUUUAUGGAAGAACUGGUGCUAUAAUCAAUCAAUCAACGGUUUAUCAACCCAAUUGUCAUUUCUGUACUCAUAAAAUUUAGUUCGCUAUGUAUUCUUUGUUCACAUUUAUUGAAAUAAACUCCAAAACCUCGAGAAAAUUUAAUGAAAUGCGCUAUAUAACAAUACGAAUUAGAAUAAACAUUGAUUAAGCUAUCAAACUUCGUUCAAAAGUAAGUUUUUUUUUCACUUAAAUUCUUUUUAUUUCUCAAUUUGGUUCACAUUAUAAUAUAAUAAUACAUUUCAAGUGAUCACCCUAGGGUUCUACAUUUUUAAAUUCAAAAGUAAGUUAUUAAUUUUGGUUCCCUCCGAUAUGAUGGUGAAGACAUUUGAAGACAUUUUUGCGUACCAUGUGAAGACAUUUGAAAAGACCACCUGGCAUCCCUGCUCCGAUCAAAGAAACAAACGUUUUCGUAACUCGAACUUAGUUUAUUUACGUUUGUAUCCGAAGCAAAAUUUUAUUCAAGAAAGUGGUCAGUUUGAUUUAAAAUACGUUGUUCAGUGAAAGACUGUCCGAAUGCGAGUAAAAAAUACUCGCGUAUGUUUCCAUCAUUUCCCCUCGGAUGCGUUCUUACAAAUGCACUGAAUCGGUUUUCGUAAAGAGGAUAAACAUACUCCGAACAAGGAUACCCGCGUCUGUGGAGACUAUUUUAAUAGUUGUUCCAUUUCAACCGAAAAGGAAACCUGGUGAAUCUUCGAAACGCUUUCCAACAAUUAGGCCGAUUGUCCAGCAACAAGACUACGUCCAUCCAUUCCAACAAGUAACGCAGAUUGUUUUGCCGCUAUAUUCCGCUAUUGUUAUGUCCCAGCAAACAUUAAAUCGUAUAAUUUUGCACGUGCCAAGUCAAGAAAUCCGAAUAAAUCAUAAUCGCUUAUGAUAUCAAUCAAAAUAGCCGCGCGAGAUAGCUGGUGGAUGAUAAUUCAGACGACCGGAGUUAGAAUCCACAUCGCAGCAGUUUUCACCAAACAUCAGUCUGUGCCAUUUUAAACAUUCAUAUUCCACUCCAACACAAGUCAAUCAAACGAUUAUUAUUUCCACAAACAUAAAUACUCAUAUAUAAAAAUCGCGCUUCGUGAGGCUAUAAUAAACAUUUCACGAAAAUAUUUUGCGUCAUUUGUUUUUUUCUAUAUCUGUAAUAAAUCGUAUAUGAGUAUAGUAUGGCAAAAGUCGUAUUUGGUGCUAUAUAUUCAUAUUAGAUCGCAAUUCAAUUCAACAUAAUCGCUAUUAUAGCCGGUCAAAGUUGCAUAUU